Molecule: long non-coding RNA, 581 nt
Organism: Acanthopagrus latus (yellowfin seabream)
Lineage: Eukaryota; Metazoa; Chordata; Actinopteri; Spariformes; Sparidae
Exons: 4
Source: RefSeq, a predicted model, not a curated record
UCUUGAGUCCUCCUGUGACCUCACGGGUUUUGUGCUGUGCAGGCACCCAAACGCAGCACUGCCUGAUGGUGCUGCUCGAUGGCGACGGAGGCUAUGGCUUCCCGUCUGCCUUGUUUCCUGUCCGCCUCAUUUCCUGUUGACCUUGGUAUCGCAAUUGUCUCAGAUUUUUGUAGAUAUCCCUGUUGGAGAUCCCCUUCCUUUUGAAGUGAGCCACUCGUGGAUUGCUGCCGGUGAACCUUCCUGCAUGAGUAGUGAUCAGCUGCUUCAUUUUAGAUCGUUAAUGUAGCUGUUUGAGCACCGAAUGCCCUCCUGUCCCUUUUCAAGUGUGCUGACAGACUCUGCUCGAUCGAAGAGCCCAGGGCGGUGGGGCUGGUGUAUCCAGGUGGUGGCAUCUCCUUCCGGCGUGCACCCUCAGUCUUGAUUGCUCACCAUUGUGUAGUGUGUUUGAGUGUCCACAUGUGACUGGGGUGAUGCGUCGCUGGGAUCCCACUCAUCCCUUGUUGUGCCACCUUUUCACUGGAAAGCUUCAGCUCUGACAGGAUUUUACCAAUUUUUGAUAUUUAAUAAAACACCAUUUUUGA